Molecule: long non-coding RNA, 769 nt
Filed under: Olea europaea subsp. europaea
Lineage: Eukaryota; Viridiplantae; Streptophyta; Magnoliopsida; Lamiales; Oleaceae
Source: RNAcentral
CCAACUAUAAAUAGCAGCUGCAAAUGAAACUUGAAGAUCAUAGCAAGCACCAAUUCACUUAUUCAAUUCUAUUUUCUGCUUCUUUUGAUACCAACUCAACCAUGUCGGACAAGUGUGGAAACUGCGAUUGCUCUGACAAGAGCCAGUGCGUGUAAGUAAUACUUAAAAGUUUUUCGUGUUUUUUUUCUCCACAUAACCAAGAUUUAUUCUCAAUAAAUAUGAAUCCCAUCAACUCGAUAAUUGUAGGAAGAAGGGAAACGCCUAUGGUAUCGACAUCAUCGAGACAGACAUAAGGUACAUUUAAUUUCUUGCUUAACAAUUCCUUUCUUCUUGACAACUGAAACCCACAACAAGGAAAACAGAAAAGAUCACUUAAACAUUUUACUUAAAAGCAGUCUUUCACAAACUCAGCAAGUUUUGUUAUAUUAUUAUCAUGUUGGUUAUUGUGCUGCCGGGUUCUGAUAUUGCAGCUACGUCGCGAUGGAUGCUCCAGCAGAGACCGAGAACUGUGGCAAGUGCAAGUGUGGUACAAGCUGCUCUUGCACCAAUUGCACCUGUUGUACUCACUGAUUACACGCAUAUCUAUAUGUAAUAUUUAGUAUGAUGAAAUAAGUUUGUGACAUUGUGGUCUGGUCUGGUGUGUUGUGUGUUAUUGAGUUAAAUUUGAGUGUCACAUUGUGUCCCUAUCAAUGUAAGGUUCAAAGUCUUUGUGGCGUUAAUAAACUCUAUUAUUAGUUUCUAAUAUUUUCUAUUGUUUGUUUCUAUUCAU